CACUCCAAUAGUAUCAGAAAUCGAAUCAAUGCAUAGGAAAUGAAUGCGUUGUCAUACUAUAUAGAAUUCAGACUAUAUCACAUAACUUUUUUGACUGGAUCUUACGGAGCCUGUUGAUGCAGAAUAAAAUUGAGUCUGAUCAUAGAAAAGAUUCUCUUCAAGUAAAACCAGCCUACCCUCUCUGUAAGAGCCUUGCUUGGUGGUUGGAAAAAGACACAUUUAAUUGUAAAUUCUAAUGUGGCAGAUAAGAUAAAGUCAUAUAUCUGCGCGGCCAAAUAAAUAGUUCAAGUCACACACUCCCAUAAUCCAUUUUUUGUUUGGAGAGUUCCCUUCAACUAUUCAUGUAUGUAAAAAAAAAUUCAAUUUUUGUUAAGUUGAAGAGAAAUAUCUAAAUACAUGUCUUAUUUUGUUUUAUAAUCCAUAAUUGUAGCAAUGAAAUCAAAUCCUCCCCAAAAUAAAAAAUGAUUGUGAUUACAAAUA
This 480-nucleotide long non-coding RNA is filed under the name Phaseolus vulgaris (common bean). RNAcentral describes it as "long non-coding RNA (PVUL_LNC002222)". The record is from RNAcentral. Lineage: Eukaryota; Viridiplantae; Streptophyta; Magnoliopsida; Fabales; Fabaceae.